GAUGAACGCUGGCGGCGUGCCUAAUACAUGCAAGUCGAGCGAACGGACGAGAAGCUUGCUUCUCUGAUGUUAGCGGCGGACGGGUGAGUAACACGUGGAUAACCUACCUAUAAGACUGGGAUAACUUCGGGAAACCGGAGCUAAUACCGGAUGAUAUUUUGAACCGCAUGGUUCAAAAGUGAAAGACGGUCUUGCUGUCACUUAUAGAUGGAUCCGCGCUGCAUUAGCUAGUUGGUAAGGUAACGGCUUACCAAGGCAACGAUGCAUAGCCGACCUGAGAGGGUGAUCGGCCACACUGGAACUGAGACACGGUCCAGACUCCUACGGGAGGCAGCAGUAGGGAAUCUUCCGCAAUGGGCGAAAGCCUGACGGAGCAACGCCGCGUGAGUGAUGAAGGUCUUCGGAUCGUAAAACUCUGUUAUUAGGGAAGAACAUAUGUGUAAGUUACUGUGCACAUCUUGACGGUACCUAAUCAGAAAGCCACGGCUAACUACGUG
Molecule: ribosomal RNA, 497 nt
Filed under: uncultured bacterium
Lineage: Bacteria
Description: partial 16S ribosomal RNA
Rfam family: Bacterial small subunit ribosomal RNA
Source: RNAcentral